Molecule: ribosomal RNA, 484 nt
Filed under: uncultured bacterium
Lineage: Bacteria
Description: partial 16S ribosomal RNA
Rfam family: Bacterial small subunit ribosomal RNA
Source: RNAcentral
GACGAACGCUGGCGGCGUGCUUAACACAUGCAAGUCGAACGAUGAACCCGGAGCUUGCUCCGGUGGAUUAGUGGCGAACGGGUGAGUAACACGUGAGUAACCUGCCCUUGACUCUGGGAUAACUGCGGGAAACUGUAGCUUAUACCGGAUACGACCCUCGGCGGCAUCGCCAGGGGGUGGAAAGAAUUUCGGUCAAGGAUGGACUCGCGGCCUAUCAGCUAGUUGGUGAGGUAACGGCUCACCAAGGCGACGACGGGUAGCCGGCCUGAGAGGGUGACCGGCCACACUGGGACUGAGACACGGCCCAGACUCCUACGGGAGGCGGCAGUGGGGAAUAUUGCACAAUGGGCGAAAGCCUGAUGCAGCAACGCCGCGUGAGGGAUGAAGGCCUUCGGGUUGUAAACCUCUUUUAGUAGGGAAGAAGCGCAAGUGACGGUACCUACAGAAAAAGCACCGGCUAACUACGUGCCAGCCGCCGCCGUAA